Molecule: long non-coding RNA, 2833 nt
Organism: Hippopotamus amphibius kiboko
Lineage: Eukaryota; Metazoa; Chordata; Mammalia; Artiodactyla; Hippopotamidae
Exons: 3
Source: RefSeq, a predicted model, not a curated record
GGGAUACCUCCGCACGCACAGGCUGAGGGCACUGGUACAAGCCUCCAGCGUGCUGUCAGAGGCUGGUUCAAUUCAACAGCUUCAGCUCAGAGGCAGGGACAACCCAAAGAUCUGCCCUCAGACUGGGGCCAGAGAGAAGUCAUGCAGAAAGGAAGCAAAAAGCACAGUUCAUUGAAGAUCCCAAGCACACUCAUGGAGGCACUCUUUCUAGAAGCUUUGAGUCUUCCAACAGCAUCUGGUUUCUUCUUGGGGACUACCUGAGGUCCAGCUCCCCUGGUACUCACAGGCCCAGCUUCCUGAGGAAGGAUCAACACCAAACUCCCAAGAGUGGCUGGAGAGCCAGCCAGGUGAUUCGCCUAGACUUGGCUCACUUCUCCUGUGGAGUUAACUCUGGGGUGGGAUCAGCUCUGGGGCUGACUUGGGGGUCAGAUCUAUUCUUUGGGCUGGGCUGGAACUCCCACAGGGAGGGACUUGAAGGAGGGGACAGUCUUUUGUUUCCCAGGACCCCCCUUACCCAGAGGGAAGGAGUAAGACAUUAAUGUUUGUAAGUGCUCAAGGCCAAGCUGUUUUUCACUCUCAAACAGCAUAAUUGCAUUUUACCCAGCAACAUGGCUCCACUCCCAGGCUUCCUCUCCUCCCAGCUGUGAUUCUGAUUAUGCCUUGACAGGAUCAAAGAUGCAUGCGACUUCAGUUUGUCUAGCAUUCGCACUAAAGGCAGUGAGCACUUGGAGCUUGAAUUCGGCACAGGGGAAAUGCUCUGUGAAGGCCGGGGGCUGCCAAGUGUGCCAAUGGUGAUGUCAAAGAGGCAGCUUCAGAGGCAAGGCUACGAGAGGCUCAGUGUGUCCUCAGCACCUCCCACUUCCUCUUUCAGUGCUCCUCUCUCUUGUGACAGGCUCCCCCAGCCCUACUCCCACAUUAAAACUGUUCCCCAUUCCCAUGGGCCUCCGAUCUGGCCUUCAGGCCCAUUUUCAGCUCCACUACUGGAGAGCAGAAGUGCUACCCUCUCCAGUAUCAUGGUCUGUUAAUGACAGAAUUGCCUAAAACUGUUCUACCAGGAGGAUUUCAGAUAGCAGGAGGUAGGGGGCCUUUGAAAUUUCUUUGGUGCCACCGCAUCAGAGGGUGCCCAUUCUGUCUACAAUCCCAACCUCUCAUAGAUCACAGCAAGAACACCCACACUUCCUUUACCCGUCUUCCAAGGACUUUCACGGGAUCCACAAGUGGGUCUGAACCCCAGCAAUGAAAUACCAAACCCAAUAAGCCAGCUGGAGCCCACACUCUCCAGUCAGCCAUCAAGACCCACCAGCUUUUCCAUCUUGGCAUCUAAGAUUCACCAUCUCCUCUUGACCUACUCUGGUCAGGCCUAUAUUGUGUCUUGUUUAGACUACUAGAAUAGUCUCUCAAUUCUUUAGUCUCUUCUCCAAUCCACCUUCUGGAUACCUAUGAUCCUCCUAAACUCCUUCUCUAAUUGUAUCACUUUACUGCUCUAAAUAAAUUAUAGCUAACACUAUAUACAUGCCAGGUAACAUGGUGGACAAUUUUAUGAAGUAUUUCCCUUAAACCUCACAACAGCUCUAUGAGGUACCAACAUCCCUAAUUGUUAGGUAAGGAAACUGAGGCCCAACUAAGGUAGGUAAUUUGCCCAGGGCCAUACAGAGGCAGCUGGCAUGUGAGCCCAGGCAGUGGGCUCUUCUCUUCCCGUUGCCCACAGGAUGACGUCCACAUUCUUCAGGCUGACACCAGAAACUUGCUUCAGCAUGGCUGGACUGGCCCUUCUAGCCUCUCCCCCUCAUGUUCUAAACGUACGUGACCCUUCACUGUUUAUUCUCUAGUCUAGGCCACUCUAGUGUUUAUGCUGAGUACCUUCCAGAAAUACCUUUUCUCCUUUUCUACCAAUCCAACCCAACACAUCCUGGAGGUCUAAGUCAAAUUCUACCUCAUUCAUGAAAUCUGUUCUCUGAUUGCCCCUUUCAAUUCUGAUCUCCUCUCUGAAAUCCUAUAAUAGCACUUAAUAGACUGUCUUGUUAUCCUGAAGACUGGAAUGAUGCUUCUAGGAAGGUUGCCAGAUCUUUGAGGGCACAGAUUACGUGUCUUCAUCUUUUCAUGAAUUCCUAACAAUUACAGCGCCCGUUUUUUUAAAAAGAGAAAUUGGGAUAUAGGGCCUGAUAUGGUGACUAUGUAUUAAAAAGGUAAAAAUACUUAAAAUUAGGAGUAUUUUGAAAAAUUUAAGACUAUCACCAUUUUACCAAUGCCAUCAAGCACAGGACUGAGCACAUAAGAGGUCCUUAAUAAAUGCUUAUUCGAUAAAUGACCAUGCAACAACAGUGAAGUCCAAAAUGGAGUAGAGUCGAAGUCUUUUAAGGGAAAAAUGUUGUUAAACCACAGAUGUUAAACCACACUGUAUUUGGCAUCAACUCUGAUUAGCAGCUCUAAAAAUGCUCAGGUUAGAGAAUUAAACAUGAGGCCUGCUACAUGUGCCUACAUAUUAGGCGCAGAAGGGAGAAAGUCUUGUUACCUCCUGGAGCUAAAUUGGACUCCUUGUUAGAUCUGUUUCUUUGACUUUAACCUUUGCUUUUUGUUGCUUUUGUUAUUGUAAUCAUACGUGAUGGCCUGCCUCAGGGAACACUGCCCCUCUACCUGAAUGUUGAACUAAAGUGCCUCUGUUCAGCUCACAGGCAGACAAUCUGCCCGCCCACCUGUGUGAAUGGGUGAAGUUAACAUAUCCUCUCACUGAGGCUGGUUAGUCCCAGAGAUCUUCUGUAAGACUGAUGGCCCUUUAACUUUACUUCCUUACAGCCUCUCCCUCUCUGGUUCUAUAAAACAAACUGGCAUCCAG